This 1107-nucleotide long non-coding RNA is filed under the name Haliotis rufescens (red abalone). RNAcentral describes it as "uncharacterized LOC124150593, transcript variant X1". Lineage: Eukaryota; Metazoa; Mollusca; Gastropoda; Lepetellida; Haliotidae. The record is from RNAcentral.
AGAGAAAUUAGAGGUGUGUGUUCCAAAAUCAACCUGAUAUCGAAACAGUUGGGGGGCGUCCGUAUUUUCAAGGUGGCAAGAAGAGAGACGGUUGCGGCCCAUGAAAGACAACCUUGAAUUGCCAACAGCAUGCUUGUAGAACCAAUAUUGCAAAUGGAUAAAGAAUCUUUGAAUAUUGCUUUGAAAUACUUUCUCUUUGAAACAAGAAAACAAAAUGGCCCAGAAUAUCCCGCCAACAGCUUUUAUGCACUCUUCGCGGCGAUUGAGUCAGCACUGAGAGAGAAUGGUUCAGUCAUUAACUUAUUUAAAGAUGAUGAAUUUAUUGAAGCUCGCAAGUGUUUAGAUGCUGCUAUGCGCAAUCUCUCGCAGAAGGGUUUAGGAAGUUCCAGUAGGAAAAUGACUGAAACCAUAUCAUGUGAUGAAGAGGAAUUACUCUGGAAGAAUGGAUCAUUGGGUGAAGACAGUCCAAGACAGCUGCUUGAUUCAAUAUUGUAUCUCACAGGACUGAAUUUCGCCUUACGAGGUGGAAAGGAGCACCGGAACUUUAGACUAUAUUCCUAGCCACAAAUAACAGGGCCGCACGUGGAUGAGAAAGGUAGACGUUAUCUUUUGUACAAAGAAAAUGCCGAUCCAUCUAGAUGCUAUGUCAGGCUGUUUCAAAAGUAUCGUUCUCUUUGUUCCGAUGGAAAGGGCACAGACUACUUUUACUUCAGUCCAAUGAUCAAUCACCGUCCACAGAAAUGGUUCACUCGUCUACCAGUUGGGCACAAUACUCUACAGUCCACCAUUAAGAGACUCUGCAAGGCUGCUUGGAUUACAGGUUCGAAAACUAACCACUCUUUGAGAGCAGGUACCAGACCCUUCCAGGCAAAUGUUGACGAGCAAUUUAUUUGUGAAGUAACUGGACAUCGAAGUGAAGCUGUAAGGGCCUACAAGAGACCAUCUGCCGAUCAAAAGGAGAGGGUUUCUCGGCUCUUGACUGGAACAAAGGUUGCUCGGACAUCAACCAAAACAGUGACCGCUGAAGCAGAUAUCGUUUCCACUGUGCAGAAUGCGACAACUUCGACUUCUGCACCACUCGAUGACGAUGUUACGCGUGAAAAGUCU